RNAcentral lists this ribosomal RNA (375 nucleotides) under uncultured Paludibacter sp. Its description in RNAcentral is "bacterial SSU rRNA". It matches the Rfam family "Bacterial small subunit ribosomal RNA", at positions 354 to 723 of the family's 1533-position model. Lineage: Bacteria; Pseudomonadati; Bacteroidota; Bacteroidia; Bacteroidales; Paludibacteraceae. The record is from RNAcentral.
UGAGGGAAUAUUUGGGGUCAAUGGGCGAGAGCCUGAACCAGCCAAGUCGCGUGAAGGACUACGGCCCUAUGGGUCUUAAACUUCUUUUGUAUAGGGGUAAAGAUAUGUACGUGUACAUAAUUGCAAGUACUAUACGAAUAAGGAUCGGCUGACUCCGUGCCAGCAGCCGCGGUAAUACGGAGGAUCCGAGCGUUAUCCGGAUUUAUUGGGUUUAAAGGGUGCGUAGGCGGGGCAUCAAGUCAGUGGUGAAAUGGUGUGGCUCAACCAUAGCAUUGCCGUUGAAACUGAUACCCUUGGGUGCAGUAGAGGUAUGCGGAAUGUGUUGUGUAGCGGUGAAAUGCAUAGAUAUGACACAGAACACCGAUUGCGAAGGCA